Molecule: ribosomal RNA, 665 nt
Filed under: uncultured fungus
Lineage: Eukaryota; Fungi
Description: eukaryotic LSU rRNA
Rfam family: Eukaryotic large subunit ribosomal RNA
Source: RNAcentral
CCCGCUGAACUUAAGCAUAUCAAUAAGCGGAGGAAAAGAGACUAACAAGGAUUCCCCUAGCAGCUGCGAGAGAAGCGACGAAAGCUCAAAUUUAAAAUCUGGUGUACUUUGGCCGUUGGAGUUGUAAUUUAGAGAAGCGUCUUCCGCGCCGGACCGUGCACAAGUCUCCUGGAAUGGAGCGGCAUAGAGGGUGAGAAUCCCGUCUUUGGCACGGACGCCUGGUGCUUCUGUGAUGCGCUCUCGAAGAGUCGAGUUGUUUGGGAAUGCAGCUCAAAAUGGGUGGUGAACUCCAUCUAAAGCUAAAUAUUGGCGAGAGACCGGUAGCGAACAAGUACCGUGAGGGAAAGAUGAAAAGCACUUUGGAAAGAGAGUGAAACAGUACGUGAAAUUGUUGAAAGGGAAACGCUUGAAGUCAGUCGCGUCGACCGAGACUCAGCCUUGCCUCGGCUUGGUGUACUUCUCGGCCCGACGGGUCAGCAUCAAUUUUGCCCCUCGGAUAAUGGCAAGGGAAAGGUGGCACCUUGGCGGGUGUGUUAUAGUCUCCUGUCGCAUGCGAGGGGUGGGAUUGAGGAACUCAGCGGGCCCCUUGGUGUCGGGGCUUCGGCCCACGUCACGCGCUUAGGAUGCUGGCGUAAUGGCUUUAAACGACCCGUCUUGAAACACGG